Molecule: ribosomal RNA, 254 nt
Filed under: uncultured bacterium
Lineage: Bacteria
Description: partial 16S ribosomal RNA
Rfam family: Bacterial small subunit ribosomal RNA
Source: RNAcentral
UACGUAGGGACCAAGCGUUGUUCGGCUUUACUGGGCGUAAAGGGCGCGUAGGCGGCGCGGUAAGUCACUUGUGAAAUCUCUGAGCUUAACUCAGAACGGCCAAGUGAUACUGCAGUGCUAGAGUGCGGAAGGGGCAAUCGGAAUUCUUGGUGUAGCGGUGAAAUGCGUAGAUAUCAAGAGGAACACCUGAGGUGAAGACGGGUUGCUGGGCCGACACUGACGCUGAGUGCGCGAAAGCCAGGGGAGCAAACGGG